This 547-nucleotide long non-coding RNA is filed under the name Elaeis guineensis (African oil palm). Its description in RNAcentral is "long non-coding RNA (EGUI_LNC069066)". The record is from RNAcentral. Lineage: Eukaryota; Viridiplantae; Streptophyta; Magnoliopsida; Arecales; Arecaceae.
GCUUGCUCGAGUCUCCCGCUUGCCGCUCUCUCACAGUCUCCUCGUCCUUCAUCUUGAAGGCUUCCUCUGCUCGAGCAUAUCCUUCGGCCCCAGCCAGCAAAUCAGCAAAAUUCCUGGGGUACUUCUUUUCUAAGGAGAACAGAAGGUCGUUCUUCUGAAGGCCGCCUUUCAGAGCAGCCAUCGCGAUCGAUUGGUCCAAGUUUCGGACCUCCAACGCAGCGACGUUAAAACGGUUGACGUAAGCCCGGAUGGAUUCCCCCUCACUUUGCUUGAUGUUGAUGAGUGACUCCGACCCUCUCCGGGGAUGCCGGCUGCUAACAAAAUGAGCCACGAACUAGUGGCUCAUCUGAUCAAAGGAAAAGAUGGUACCCGGCUUCAACAUCGAGUACCAGUUCCUUGCUGCUCCCUUCAGGGUGGAUGGAAAAGCUCGGCAUAGAAUGACGUCUGGCGCGCCAUGGAGCAGCAUCAUCAUCCGAAAUGCUUCCAGGUGGUCGACCGGGUCUGAGGUCCCGUCAUAGCUUUUGAAUUGGGGGAGCUUGAAGUUUGG